CUGCUGCCUUCCGUAGGAGUUUGGGCCGUGUCUCAGUCCCAAUGUGGCCGUUCACCCUCUCAGGCCGGCUACUGAUCGCUGCCUUGGUAGGCCAUUACCCCACCAACUAGCUAAUCAGACGCGGAACCAUCGUAUACCACCAGAGUUUUUCACACCGCUUCAUGCGAAGCUGUGCGCUUAUGCGGUAUUAGCACCUAUUUCUAAGUGUUAUCCCCCAGUAUACGGCAGGUUUUCCACGCGUUACUCACCCGUCCG
This 255-nucleotide ribosomal RNA is filed under the name uncultured bacterium. RNAcentral's name for it is "partial 16S ribosomal RNA". The record is from RNAcentral.